This 253-nucleotide ribosomal RNA is filed under the name uncultured bacterium. RNAcentral describes it as "partial 16S ribosomal RNA". It matches the Rfam family "Bacterial small subunit ribosomal RNA", at positions 524 to 776 of the family's 1533-position model. The record is from RNAcentral.
UACGUAGGGUGCAAGCGUUGUCCGGAAUUAUUGGGCGUAAAGGGCUCGUAGGUGGCCAACUAAGUCAGACGUGAAAUCCCUCGGCUUAACCGGGGAACUGCGUCUGAUACUGGAUGGCUUGAGUUCGGGAGAGGGAUGCGGAAUUCCAGGUGUAGCGGUGAAAUGCGCAGAUAUCAGGAGGAACACCGGUGGCGAAGGCGGGUCUCUGGGCCGUAACUGACGCUGAGGAGCGAAAGCGUGGGGAGCGAACAGG